GCGGAUGUAGUUCAAUGGUAGAACUCCAGCCUUCCAAGCUGACUACGGGGGUUCGAUUCCCCUCAUCCGCUCCA
This 74-nucleotide transfer RNA is filed under the name Erysipelotrichaceae bacterium. RNAcentral's name for it is "tRNA-Gly". It matches the Rfam family "tRNA". Rfam says of the family: Transfer RNA (tRNA) molecules are approximately 80 nucleotides in length. Their secondary structure includes four short double-helical elements and three loops (D, anti-codon, and T loops). Lineage: Bacteria; Bacillati; Bacillota; Erysipelotrichia; Erysipelotrichales; Erysipelotrichaceae. The record is from RNAcentral. RNAcentral also lists the same sequence under 1 other name.